AGCUGGGGACAGAUGUGCAGGUUAGCGUAGGCGAAAGGUCAUCUCAGUCACCGAGCUGCAGCAGUCCUGAGAGACAAGGAGAACGUUCCUAACUCAUGAACGAAGCAACUAAACGGCCCGAGAGGAGAUGCGGCUGGCUCCAGGGUAACAGUGGGCGAAGAAAUGAACCAUUCUAAUGAUGAUGAUGAUGAUGAUGAUGAUGAUGAUGAUGAUGAUGCUUGUUUUUCAUUAUAUAAUAAGAUAGCAGAAAAAAUAUAAAAUCGGACUCGGGGCACCGGGAAGUAGCAAUGGGCUGGUUGAGUCACAAAUCCCUCAACCAGAGCCUCGCAGAGAUUGAUGCCAAUAUUAUGGGAGCCGAUCGCAUCGUGGGAUGGAGAGGAGAACGUGAAACAGGUGCAGAGCGGCAUGAUGGAUUCUGGGAAAGAUGCAGUCAGCCACGAUCCUGUUCAUGGCCGACAAGUAGAAGUGCAGCAAAGGCACGGGAGUGCCACGGGCUAUACCUUCUGCCCAGCCUGGUCGGGGGAAGAUUUUAAAAAAAAUAAAAGAAAAUCCUCUGCUACAGAGCCCCAGCUUGGUGGAUAAAGUCACUUGCUGCCAGCCUGAGACCUGAGUUCAAUCCCUGAGACCCAGAACUGACUUCCGCAAGCUUUCUAAACACACACACACACACACACACACACACACACACACACACACACACACACAAAAAAUAAAUGUAAAUUCUAGAAUCUCCUGUUAUUCAGGAAGCUUCCAUUGUAGUAGGCUUCCGAAACCAAAGAAAGGACACCGGUGUCUGUUUCAUUUCUCCCAGGAUCACCUGAGCGCGUUUUCUUGAUGCCUAGCUUGCCAUGACACAGGAGGAGGGCAUUGAAUCUGGGCUGCUUUCGAGGAGAGCACCAGGCAGCCGGGUCCCCGCAGUCAAAGCAGCACCUGGCGUCCUAGGGCCCACCCAUUCUAGAGAGGAGGACCGGAGUCUUACAAAGCCCACGCCCUGCGCUCGACAUGAGCACUUCUACGUGGUAGUUUCCUAGUGGUCGUGUUCAACACCAGUGAACCAGAAAGAGGGAAGGCUGCAGAUCAAAACAAAGAACUUCUGAGUGCCGGCUGGCGAAGCCGAUUCUUAAAGGUGUCCACCACCGAUAGAAGCUCACACAGGUCAAUCAGAAAUAACUAGUUAAAAGGAAAAGGCAGGUGCUUGCCCUGGGCCGAGCUUAUGAACGCAGACAUCCCAUAAUAGCAAAGCAUUUUCCAGGUCGCCGACCCUCAUCUGUGCCGGCCCCUCAGUGCAUACAGCAGGUGCUUACGAAGAAAUCGCACACUAAUUAUCACAAAUAAUUGGGGUCAGCCUAUAAAAACAAGUGCUUUAGUAAACCAAUGCUCAGGUGGUCAGCCAAACCAGGCAGGGGCCUGGGGCUGGUUUGAAGGUAAGGUAAGGAUCUGUGAGCUUAAACCCGUGAGUCAGUGUUUCUGUCUCCUCCUCUGCAAAGGAAAUUGCCAUUCAAGAGGAGAGAGGCUGGCCUACUGCUGACUUCUACCCAAGGGUAACCAUGUAAAGCCCUGUCCAGGCUUAAGCAAAUCAUCUUGGAACUUCCUCCAAACUGAGGACCCCAGAGGAGGUCAGCCUUCAUACUUGUGAAGUUGCCCUGAGCUUGGUCUAAACUCCUCCACAGUAGCGGCCCUCAGAACUAUCGUUUCCCAUGUAUAACUUGGAAGAUCAUGGACAAGAACACCUGAUGUAUGAUCUCUUUCCGGACUGAAACGUUUUGUUGUUGUUUUGAAGCAGCCUCACUAUGUAGUCCAGGAUAACCUUUAAUGAUAAUACUCAAGCUUACCUCAAAGUCAGCACCCCUCUGCUUUAGCCUCCCAGGGCCCGGGAUUUCAGGUGUGUACCACCACACCUGGCUCUGAAAAUGCUUCUGAGACCCUUUAGCACACUGCUUCACUCUCUAUAAACAUGUUUAAAACAGCAUAUGAACAGGGAGCUGGGGGCAUAGUUCAGUCAACAGAGUUCAUGCCCAGGAGGCCCUAAAUCCUGGGUUCCAUUCCAAGCACCACAUAAAUGGGCUAUGGUGGUGCAUCCUGGGAUACACAGAUCCUGUCUCUAACAAUAAAAUGUAUGCACUAAAAA
This is a non-coding RNA of Rattus norvegicus (Norway rat), 2128 nucleotides long. NCBI's taxonomy places the organism in Eukaryota, Metazoa, Chordata, Mammalia, Rodentia, Muridae. The record is from RefSeq and is a predicted model, not a curated record.